UGCUGCUGUCUUUUUGUCCCUGGC
RNAcentral lists this non-coding RNA (24 nucleotides) under Rattus norvegicus (Norway rat). Lineage: Eukaryota; Metazoa; Chordata; Mammalia; Rodentia; Muridae. The record is from RNAcentral.